Molecule: signal recognition particle RNA, 277 nt
Filed under: Candidatus Diapherotrites archaeon CG_4_10_14_0_2_um_filter_31_5
Lineage: Archaea; Nanobdellati; Candidatus Iainarchaeota
Description: signal recognition particle sRNA
Rfam family: Archaeal signal recognition particle RNA
Source: RNAcentral
UUGUGGGCUAGGUUGGGGAGUUAGCAGUUCCUUGUUACCUGAAAUCUGCUUUAGCAGGAACCGAAGCUUUGAGGAAGGAUUUAAUUUUAGGGAUAAAAUCUUUUAUUGUUUCAAUGAACUUCUGUCCCCUAAGAUUGGAUUUUAAAGUCAACCCGCCAGAUUCGGAAGAAAGCAACGGAAAUUUUACUGUUCAAUGCUUUUGGGAGCCACGGAAGCAAGUGCAAUAAAAGGCUAAUUUUAUUUCUUUAAUUGAUUCGACUUUAAAGCAUGCUCACAC